GAUGAACGCUGGCGGCGUGCCUAAUACAUGCAAGUCGAGCGAACAGACGAGGAGCUUGCUCCUCUGACGUUAGCGGCGGACGGGUGAGUAACACGUGGAUAACCUACCUAUAAGACUGGGAUAACUUCGGGAAACCGGAGCUAAUACCGGAUAAUAUAUUGAACCGCAUGGUUCAAUAGUGAAAGACGGUUUUGCUGUCACUUAUAGAUGGAUCCGCGCCGCAUUAGCUAGUUGGUAAGGUAACGGCUUACCAAGGCAACGAUGCGUAGCCGACCUGAGAGGGUGAUCGGCCACACUGGAACUGAGCCACGGUCCAGACUCCUACGGGAGGCAGCAGUAGGGAAUCUUCCGCAAUGGGCGAAAGCCUGACGGAGCAACGCCGCGUGAGUGAUGAAGGUCUUCGGAUCGUAAAACUCUGUUAUUAGGGAAGAACAAAUGUGUAAGUAACUAUGCACGUCUUGACGGUACCUAAUCAGAAAGCCACGGCGAACUACGU
This 496-nucleotide ribosomal RNA is filed under the name uncultured bacterium. RNAcentral describes it as "partial 16S ribosomal RNA". It matches the Rfam family "Bacterial small subunit ribosomal RNA", at positions 28 to 506 of the family's 1533-position model. The record is from RNAcentral.